This 300-nucleotide ribosomal RNA is filed under the name Triticum aestivum (bread wheat). Its description in RNAcentral is "partial small subunit ribosomal RNA". Lineage: Eukaryota; Viridiplantae; Streptophyta; Magnoliopsida; Poales; Poaceae. The record is from RNAcentral.
AUGGACAGUGCGGGCAUGGAAUUUUUGCUUGAAGCGGUCGACAGGUUCCCGGUGAAAGAGGAGUUCACUGACAACCUUGAACAGCAGGAUCCGAUUUUGUUCCCUUUCCUGUUAGAAAACGGAGCAGCCAAUGCGAAGGGAGGUGAUUCAGAUGCUGGGUCUGGUAUGGCUCAGAAGGUUGGGGGAGAUGGGGCGAUUGGAGCCCAGGAAGGUGCGUGUCGUCGUGCUGCUUCCCCAACAAGGUCCGCAAAAUCCAUAGAUAGAGUAAAUCCAGAGGCACCUCGCUGGACUAAAAGGUAA